UACGAAGGGACCUAGCGUAGUUCGGAAUUACUGGGCUUAAAGAGCUCGUAGGUGGUUAAAAAAGUUGAUGGUGAAAUCCCAAGGCUCAACCUUGGAACUGCCAUCAAAACUUUUUAGCUAGAGUGUGAUAGAGGUAAGUGGAAUUUCUAGUGUAGAGGUGAAAUUCGUAGAUAUUAGAAAGAACACCAAAUGCGAAGGCAACUUACUGGGUCACUACUGACACUGAGGAGCGAAAGCAUGGGUAGCGAAGAGG
Molecule: ribosomal RNA, 253 nt
Filed under: uncultured bacterium
Lineage: Bacteria
Also listed under: 1 other name
Description: partial 16S ribosomal RNA
Rfam family: Bacterial small subunit ribosomal RNA
Source: RNAcentral